This 520-nucleotide ribosomal RNA is filed under the name uncultured Glomus. RNAcentral describes it as "SSU rRNA". It matches the Rfam family "Eukaryotic small subunit ribosomal RNA", at positions 569 to 1091 of the family's 1831-position model. Lineage: Eukaryota; Fungi; Glomeromycota; Glomeromycetes; Glomerales; Glomeraceae. The record is from RNAcentral.
AGCAGCCGCGGUAAUUCCAGCUCCAAUAGCGUAUAUUAAAGUUGUUGCAGUUAAAAAGCUCGUAGUUGAAUUUCGGGACCAAUCUGCCGGUCGUGCCUCCGGUACGCACUGGUUUUAUUGGUUUCUCCCUUCUGACGAACCAUGAUGUCAUUAAUUUGGUGUCAUGGGGAAUCAGGACUGUUACUUUGAAAAAAUUAGAGUGUUUAUAGCAGGCUCACGCUUGAAUACAUUAGCAUGGAAUAAUGAAGUAGGACGUUUGACCCUAUUUUGUUGGUUUCUAGGAUCGACGUAAUGAUUAAUAGGGAUAGUUGGGGGCAUUAGUAUUCAAUUGUCAGAGGUGAAAUUCUUGGAUUUAUUGAAGACUAACUACUGCGAAAGCAUUUGCCAAGGAUGUUUUCAUUAAUCAAGAACGAAAGUUAGGGGAUCGAAGACGAUCAGAUACCGUCGUAGUCUUAACCAUAAACUAUGCCGACUAGGGAUCGGAUGAUGUUAAUUUUUAAUGACUCAUUCGGCGCCUUAA